CGUUCUUUGAAAAUGUACUUAUAGUAGUUCUUUAACAGAUAGUAAUAUAAAGAAUCGGACCUGCCCAGUGACUAGUUGUUAAACGGCCGCGGUACUCUGACCGUGCAAAGGUAGCAUAAUCAUUUGCCUUUUAAUUGAAGGCUUGUAUGAAUGGUUUGACGAAAACUAAACUGUCUCUUUUUAAUUUUAAAUAAAUUAAUUUGCAAGUGAAGAAGCUUGCAUUUAGCUGAGGGACAAGAAGACCCCAUUGAGCUUCAGUCAUCUAAUAAAAUUAUAAAUUAGGUUUAAUCUUGUAUGAUUUAAUUUUGCUGUUUCAUUUAGUUUAUGAAAAUAUUUUUUAUUAGUAAAUCUUUAGUUGGGGCGACUAAGGAAUAGAAUAAGCUUCCUUUGAUGUUUUAUGAUGGAAUACACUCUAAGUCAACUAGAUCCAGCAGUUGCUGAUCAAAGGAAAAAGCUACCAUGGGGAUAACAGCGUAAUCUUUCUAGCGAGUUCUUAUCGAAGGAAGGGUUUGCGACCUCGAUGUUGGACUAAGAUAUCCUAAAGGUGUAGAAGCUUUUAAUGGUUAGUCUGUUCGACUAUUAAAAUCUUACA
Molecule: ribosomal RNA, 592 nt
Filed under: Astralium milloni
Lineage: Eukaryota; Metazoa; Mollusca; Gastropoda; Trochida; Turbinidae
Description: partial 16S ribosomal RNA
Rfam family: Bacterial large subunit ribosomal RNA
Source: RNAcentral